This 1056-nucleotide ribosomal RNA is filed under the name Amentotaxus argotaenia. RNAcentral describes it as "eukaryotic LSU rRNA". The stretch from base 658 to 811 matches the Rfam family "5.8S ribosomal RNA". Lineage: Eukaryota; Viridiplantae; Streptophyta; Pinopsida; Cupressales; Taxaceae. The record is from RNAcentral.
GUAGGUGAACCUGCGGUAGGAUCAUUGUUGGUUCCGAGCCACGAACUGUGUAGGGGAGGAGGCGCGCUCGACAUGGUCGGGACUCGUAGCCUCCCCGACCCCCGCUCUCGUCGGCGUGUGGACUGGAGGGCCUGUUGACUUGUCGUGCAUCUAUCUCGCGAUUCUCUCCGGAUGGAUGCCGCGGCGGGCCUCGCGCCUCCGUAAGUCAUUCGCUUGCGGUUCGGGGUACGAUUCAAGGGCGUGACGGAGUGUGCCGCUGCACUCCUCGACAGCGCCCGCGGCGGYCGGYGGACUCCUCGGGGAGUCCGCGAGGCACAGCUGCAACCCCCCGUUGCGUCGACGAAGGGAGCAAUGUCGUGUAAAGGAGGUGUUGGUGGUGCGGACGGGCGCACUCGCGCAAGCCGCGGGGCAGGACCUCUCGUCGUCGUCCCCCUUCCCUCUUUGACGGCAUGUGUCCUUCGGAUGUUGCGGGGCGGGGACAUCUCCCGUCUCACGUGCCACCCAUGAGGCAUCGCUUCUGGACCCCGGUGGCAAUUGCGGGACGGGCAGUGUGUCACAAACACUUAACACUGCGGUGCAGUUCGCACCAAGGAUUGAAAGAYAGCCGCGCGAGCCGCACGCCGUGUGCGUGCGGGAUUGCCGGCGCCAUGAGAACACGACUCUCGGCAACGGAUAUCUCGGCUCUCGCCACGAUGAAGAAUGUAGCGAAAUGCGAUACUUAGUGUGAAUUGCAGAAUCCCGUGAAUCAUCGAGUCUUUGAACGCAAGUUGCGCCCGAGGCUUCGGCCGAGGGCACGUCUGCUUGGGCGUCGCACUUCUAAAUCGCCCUCCCCCCUGCGGCCUUGGGCGGGAGGAGCGGAUGUGGCCGUCCGUCCCCCAACAGCGGUGCGGUCGGCUUAAACAGGCACGGCGUCCGUCGCCCAUGUCACGACGAGCGGUGGCCCAAGCGGGUCGGCGUUAGUUUUGUGCCGGGCGGGUGCGGCUAUGUGCGGAACUUAAUCUGGGAGCKGGCGGCUUUGCAUGCGUGCGGGUCAGCCUGUUUKCCUUCCGCGUCCCC